CCGGUGGCUCCGGCACAAAGGACGGCGCCGGGCCGGCCGGGGGGAGCCGCGGCGGUGCCCGGGGGGAUCCCGCUCCCUCCCCGCCCCUCCGCCCGCCCCUGUCCCCUCCCUCCACUCGGCAGCCGGGGCGGGCGGCUGAGAGCCGGGUCCGGCGCACGGGGAGGCAGAGGCGGAGAGGCGGGCGAUGGGGAAGGAGCCGCGGCGGUGAUCCUGCGGGCGUCGUCAGGGAGAAACGCGGCGGGAGGGGCGAGAAAGGAGAAGAAGAAGGAGGAAAAGGGAGGGCGGGCCCGGCCCCCUCCCCUCUCCGCCGCGCCGAGGAGGGAGGGCGGACACGAUGCCCGGCUGGCGGGCGCUGCCCGCCCGCCCGCAUGGAGACCGCCGCCCGUAGCGGGGCUGCCGCGCCGCACCGCGGGGUGCGUCUUUGAAUGAGAGGUCAGAAAAAAUGCAACAUGAAGGGAGCUUCAUAUAGACCACUUAAAGAAGUUCACCAUGAUGGAAAGGACUGUGGUAUCCCAUGUAACGAGAAACUUCAUGCAGACAAUCUCAAAGCAUGUGCAUGUGAGGGGUUGAUCCUCACCAACAUUUCCAGGUAUCGUGAAGAGGAUCACAUCACAACCUCCAUGGUGUGUUCGCCCAGGCUGAAGACCUUGGGACAUGCCAGGGGAGACACAGGAGGAGACUUCGCAUCCGUGGAGGGAUCCUGCUCAGCUGGGCAGCAGGAAACCUGAUAAAUUAGUGAAAGGGGUCACCACCAGUUGAAGCUCCUGAUGCAGCACUACGGAAAUUAAGAGAUUUUGACAAAGGAUCAGACUAAAUGCACUUUAUUCACAGAAUGGUUGGAUUAGGAAGGGAACUCUGGACAUUGUCUAGUCCAACCCACCUGCUAAAUCAGGUUCACCAGAACACGUCACACAGGAAUGUGUCCAGGUGGGUUUUGAAUUUCUCCAGAGAAGGAGACUCCAUAGCCUCUCUGGGCUGUGCCUGGAGGCUGCAGCUCGCUGUACCCAGCUGGGAGAGAAGCCCCUGCCUGGCCCCUCGGGCACACCCGGGAUAGCGGACCCUUCCUCGCUGUCACCACACUGACACCUAGCAGAGAGGUCCAAGGCUCUGAGGAUGCUCUUUCCCACUGGCAAUGGGACUGAGUGGGGGAACUGGGGGGGGCCAGCAAAGACCGAGGCGAUGCACAGGUGGAUCCCAAAAGGGACCUGCGGCCAGAGCAGCUUUCCCUCCAGCCCACGCUGCCCUCGGCACCUGCUGCACUGCGUCUGAGGCUGCAUACGGAUUUCCUGGGGAGAAGGCACUGCUGACACGGCCCUGGGGCUGCAGGGACCCAUGGCUGUGCCCCCCAACAGGCUGGUGACCCCACGGUGCGGCCAGGGCAGGGAAAGGCGCCAGGAGAAGUGGGAGAAAGCAGCACACAGAGACUGUGUCAGGAAACAGGAAUUUAUUCCUUUUUCUUCAAUAUAGAUUUGUCAGAGCCCUGCUACUGUCGACGGCGGGGCGGCCUCUUGCAGGGCUGGGGAGAGUCCUGGGGGCCAGGGCUCUUCCUCUUUACGGGGCGCCGGGGCCCCCUGGACGAGCAGUCCCUGUCACGGUCGGGAGCGGAGGGGCUGUGGCUGCAGCCCUGGGCAGAGGGACCUGCUGCCACCGCCUGCCCCAGCUCCUCCUGGGGCUGCUCUUGCUCUGCAGGGACAGGUACAGACUGGGAGCGAAUGGGACUCCUGCACGGGGCGGCCGUCGACGAGCUGGGCUGCUCCUCCAUGUUGGAGCCUGCAGAGCUGCUGGAGGAGGCCAGGCUGGAGUCAGGAUUCCGCCAUUGGGAGCUGGUGGGGCUGGGGCUGGCUGCUGGGCUGUCCUCCUCCUCCUCGGCAGCGUAGGACCACAGCAGCCUCCAGGCCUCCUGGCUGCACCGCUGCUCGAUGAUGUUGAUGAGGCCAUGGACCAGCGGUGCUGCGUGUUCCUCGAGUCCGGGCUGCAUCCGCUGGACCACGGCCUCCUCGUCCAGCCCGCAGCAGCACAGGUCGUUUAGGAGCAGCUUUUCUGCUGCCCUUGCCAGCCACCACUCUUCCUCAUAGAUGGCCUCCAGCUGCCGGCGCAGCCAGGGCAGCACAGGGCGCAGGAGAUACUGGUGUCUCUGGAAAAGCGUCGCCCAGAUCUCAGGUGGGAGGCCACCCACAGUAACCCUGGCCUGUGUCCCCGUAGCCCCCUGCUCUCCCAGGAACGGCAUCCCCUGCGGAGAGGACGGAGGGGACACCGUGGGGCCAUGGGGGCUGCUGUUGGCCGGGGGGCUGGGAGCUCUGGCUGCCUGGCUGCUGGCGACUGACGGCUGUGCGGGGGGCGUGAUGACGAGCUCCAGGUAGUCAUCUUCUGCCCGCACAGAAAACUGGAUCUGCUCCAUCUGUUGUCUGCAGAGCGGGCAGUUCGAUGUCCUUUUAGCCCACCGCAGGAUGCAGCCCAGGCAGAACUGGUGUUGACACGGCUGCACGAAUGCGAUGUCCUUCUGGGCUUCCCGGCAGAUGGGGCAGGUUCUUUCUUCCUCCGCGGCCAUGUUUGUGCUGCACGCGGGGUUGGGGAGAGCUAAGGAUGAGGAGCUGCUCCUCCUUGCUUGUGCUUGCUGUACAAAAGUGUGUUGCACGCUGCAAAAUUGAGAGAGGCCUUGGUCAUUCCACGUCCCAGGAAGGGGAGAAGAGGACAAAAUGUCUAGGCCCCUGGAAAACAACACACUCCUGGCUCCCCAAUCCCCAUCAGCCACCCACGGCCACCCAGGGGGACGUUUCCCCACACAGCUCACCUCUGCUGCUGCAAGCGUGUCUGCAGUGCCCGGCUGCCUGAACCAGGCAGGGCCGGGGAAACACAAGGGAUGGCUCUGCAAUGGGCACCGAGAGCUGCUGACAGCAGCCCCCAAAGCACCACCCAGCACCACGAGAAGCCUCGCUCAGAGCUCCAGACCUCGCAAGCUGCUCGGCAGGAGUCCAGGCACGAGCCAGGCUGGGCCAGGCUCUGCUGACGCCCCAAGAUAAACAGCGAGGGACGUGAGGUCACAGUCCAUUGCUUGAUGAUGUCACCAUCCACCCCUCGGUUAAGCAAGCCUCUGCCACCCAGUGAUGUCACCACAAGCCUUCUGACCCUUCAGGUACAUGGCAUCAGGAGAAAAAAUAAAUCUCAGUUCUUGUCUUCAUUUUCUACAUUUCGCUGACAGUUUAGCUUGGUCACCUGAAACAUACCCCCGUGAGUGUGUGACUCCCUGAUUUACAGGGAGGUUCUGGGCAGUUGGUGUCCAGCCCUGAGUGAGAAUCUCCCACCCUGCUGGGUCCUGCCCCCUGUGCCAGUGACAAGCCUAAAGGGACAUUUUGCUCCAGCCCCACCCACUCCUGCUGGCACUCACCCACAGUGCCAGGUCUGUCUCUGCUUACUGAGUUUGCCAGGCCUCUGGUGGCUGGUGCUCCUGGCCAACUGUUGUGUUGGUGGUCCUCAAAAGCACCAGCAGUGGAGCCUGAUCCUGUACCCACAGGAAGGAGUUGUAGCUGCUGUCACUCCAGAGGACGGUGGAAGGGCUGUAGUUGCCUGCUCAUGACUCCGGGGAGCCCAGGAUCAGUCACCGCAUGGGCUGUGCUGUCCCAUCAUCCAUGAUUGCCCCUCGCUUUUAUCGUUGUGUCUAGUCAUUAGUCCAAGCAGUGGCUUUUUGUUUGUUUGUUUUAGGAGAACAGUAUAUUUUAGUUUUAAGUUUGACCACGUGAGAGGAAAAUGAAGGUGAUGUUUAAGCUGUCUGUAUGAUUUUGCCCAUUGAAAUCUCAUGAGGUGACAACCCAUAUUUUCUGGUUGUAGUGCUUCUCGUCUAUAUCAAUGGCAGAGGCAAAGACAUCCAGAAAUCAGUGAAAGGGGCCACCACCAGUUUAAUCUCCUGAUGCAGCACUUGGCACGAUGGGGUUGGGGCAGCCCUGUGGCUCCUGGUGCUGUUUCUGUGCAGAGUUGCUGACGCCGCCAACACUGGGAAAACCCCACGGACCCUGUUCAGUGCUGCCCUUCCACCAGUUGUACUGGUUUGCCAAGGGUUAUAGUAUCGAUAGUGUAUAUGUGACAGGAAAAAUCAUAACUUAACCUGAGAAAGGUCUUUUUCUUCAUGUGGGGUUAUUCAGCAUCCCCAGGAGCACUCCGUGCCAUGAGUCUGUGCCCGUGCUGGUGUGAAGCAGAGUAAUAAUGAGGGAUUGAAUUAUUACAACUCUCAUCUUUGCAGAUUAAUGAGGGAUAAUUUCAUGUAAGAAAACAGAAUUUGGAAAUUGAUUUUGGUAAUUGAUUUUAGCAAUAAAGUGGUCAUUCUUGACUUAGUGAAACAAAACGUUUUUCUAAGAGUUGACUCUAAUACAUGUUCUACUUAAAACGCGUAAUCAGAAUUUGAAAUUGCUGAAUAUCUUGCUCAGGCAUUUUCAAAUGGAAUCCUGUUUUUCCUUUAAAAAUGUAGUAAUAGGUACUGUGAAGUAGAUCUGUAACAAAACCACAGAAAGUCUAACAUUGAAGUGAAAUGUUCAGAAUUAAUUUCCUUGUUUACACUGGGAUAAGCCUACUUCACCAUAGUUUCAGCUUAGAAGUAUUCCUUCAUGUUUUAACUUCUAAUGGUGAUUUUGGGUGGGAAAUGCUUUCUGAUACAAAGACAUGUUCUGGUUGGAAAAGCUCUUUUUUGUCCUAUUUCAGCCAUGUUUAUUCUCUUACUCACUGCAACUUUGUUGUUUGAACUAAGGAUUUCCUCACUGUACAUGUCUUUCCUGAUGUCAUGACUAAUAGAUCACACUAAGAUGGAGCUUCCAUUUUGGUACAAAAAAGUAUUUUCCUAAGCUUUUUUAUAAUAUUUGCACUUUGCCAAUACUCCAAACAUAGAUUUUCUUCCAGUUUGAGGAAUCUAAAACUGCCCAAGAAUUACUCUUCUUGGGUCAUGUUAGCGAUAUCUGCUGACAGCUGAGUUUAUUUACUAGGUUCCUGUGUGUAAAAGACUCUGGUGGCUUUGAACAGAUACAUUCAGUCAAACUUGUAAUUACUAGUUUUGUCAGCAGUGACACACAGGGAAAUCCAAACAGCAUUGGAGUAAAAGAAGAAAUUAGUGCUCAGCAAAGCUCCUUUAUCAGGCAUUCUCUCUCAGUGUCAGAUCAUUCAUGAUACAUACAAUUAAACUGUCACCUACAACACAGCAUUACAGGGACAAAAAAAAGACAAGCCCAAACUCAACAACCGUACUAGUUGCCAAUGAUUCAAAUUUGCCACCCACUUACGACACAUAUUCUGCCUCACACGUUUGAUUUUGCCACUCACUAUCCGGUAGGGUGGAAGAAUGUUCUGUCUUUAAUAAACUGACCCCUUUUCUGUUUCCACAGUGUUUUUUCAAAGACAAGAGAAGGGCACGUUCAUCACACCAUGGGCCUUGUGCCUCCCUCUGCUGUGCAACCAUGAGAAAAGCACAGGUGUGCAGAAACUGUGUCAGAGAUCCUGAUGUUCUGAAAUGUUACUGUGGGCCUAUUAGGAGCGUGCUGGCCUAGCAUCAACGCUGUUUACGCAACAUAUAAAGAUCCAUUUCAGAUGGAUGAGACAUUUUGUACUAAAAAAAAAAAAUAAAUCUUUGUACAAUUAAAUACAA
Long non-coding RNA from Columba livia (rock pigeon), 5623 nucleotides. RefSeq lists it as uncharacterized. The transcript has 2 exons. NCBI's taxonomy places the organism in Eukaryota, Metazoa, Chordata, Aves, Columbiformes, Columbidae. The record is from RefSeq and is a predicted model, not a curated record.